Molecule: small nucleolar RNA, 130 nt
Filed under: Echinops telfairi (small Madagascar hedgehog)
Lineage: Eukaryota; Metazoa; Chordata; Mammalia; Afrosoricida; Tenrecidae
Description: Small nucleolar RNA SNORA31 (ENSETEG00000025156.1)
Rfam family: Small nucleolar RNA SNORA31
About the family: ACA31 (SNORA31) belongs to the H/ACA class of snoRNAs which are thought to guide the sites of modification of uridines to pseudouridines. ACA31 is predicted to guide the pseudouridylation of U3713 in 28S rRNA and U218 in 18S rRNA.
Source: RNAcentral
AAGCAUCUAUUUGACAGACCUGGAGCAGUUACUGUCUGCUCUUAAGGUUUCCUACAGAUGCAAGAGAAAAUCUCUCGCGCUUUCUGUCUGCCUGCCUGUGGCAGCCACGGUUGGAUAGGGGAGUACGGUU